Mandrillus leucophaeus (drill) is the source of this 558-nucleotide RNA transcript. It is a transcript of the gene named 60S ribosomal protein L7 pseudogene, with no coding region annotated. The transcript has 2 exons. NCBI's taxonomy places the organism in Eukaryota, Metazoa, Chordata, Mammalia, Primates, Cercopithecidae. The record is from RefSeq and is a predicted model, not a curated record.
GAGGUUCCUGCUAUGCCAGAAACCCUUAAAAAGCGAAGGAAUUUCCCAGAGUUGAAGAUCAAAGGCCUGAGAAAGAAGUUUGCCCAAAAGAUGCUUCAAAAGGCAAGGAGGAAACUUACCUAUGAAAAAGUGAAACACUAUCACAAGGAAUAUAGGCAGGUGUACAGAACUGAAAUUCAAACGGCUAGGACGGCCAGAAAAGCUGGCAACUUCUAUGUACCUGCAAAACCCAAAUUGACAUUUGUCAUCGGGAUCAGUAUCAGUGGUGUGAGCCCAAAGGUCCAAAAGGUGUUGAAGCUUCUUCGCCUUUGUCAAAUCUUCAAUGGAACCUUUGUGAAGCUCAACAAGGCUUCAGUGAACAUGCUGAGGAUUGUAGAACCAUAUAUGGCAUGGGGGUACCCAAAUCUGAAGUCAGUAAAUGAACUAAUCUAUCAGCGUGGUUAUGGCAAAAUCAGUAAGAACCGUGGAAUGAAGAAAAAGACCAUCCAUUUUGUUGAAAGUGGACAUGCUGGCAACAGGGAGGACCAGAUCAACAGACUUCUUAGAAGAAUGAACUAA